CGACCCCAUGCGGGAGAGUCCUUUGUCGUUCGCGACCAGGGCGCCGAAGGAGCAAAUCCUCCCCGGAAUCUCUCAGGCACACGUACCGCAUGGACGAG
Non-coding RNA from Streptomyces sp. 769, 98 nucleotides. NCBI's taxonomy places the organism in Bacteria, Bacillati, Actinomycetota, Actinomycetes, Kitasatosporales, Streptomycetaceae. The record is from Rfam.